Molecule: ribosomal RNA, 252 nt
Filed under: uncultured bacterium
Lineage: Bacteria
Description: partial 16S ribosomal RNA
Rfam family: Bacterial small subunit ribosomal RNA
Source: RNAcentral
UACAGAGGUCCCAAGCGUUGUUCGGAUUCACUGGGCGUAAAGGGUGCGUAGGCGGGUCUUAAGUCAGGGGUGAAAUCCUGGAGCUCAACUCCAGAACUGCCUUUGAUACUGAAGAUCUUGAGUUCGGGAGAGGUGAGUGGAACUGCGAGUGUAGAGGUGAAAUUCGUAGAUAUUCGCAAGAACACCAGUGGCGAAGGCGGCUCACUGGCCCGAUACUGACGCUGAGGCACGAAAGCGUGGGGAGCAAACAGG